GGGGAUUUAGCUCAGCGGUAGAGCACUUGCCUAGCAAGUGCGAGGCCCUGGGUUCGGUCCCCAGCUCCG
This 69-nucleotide transfer RNA is filed under the name Rattus norvegicus (Norway rat). It matches the Rfam family "tRNA". Rfam says of the family: Transfer RNA (tRNA) molecules are approximately 80 nucleotides in length. The record is from Rfam by way of RNAcentral. Lineage: Eukaryota; Metazoa; Chordata; Mammalia; Rodentia; Muridae.